Paramuricea clavata is the source of this 719-nucleotide non-coding RNA. The record is from the annotation of a GenBank genome assembly. NCBI's taxonomy places the organism in Eukaryota, Metazoa, Cnidaria, Anthozoa, Malacalcyonacea, Plexauridae.
UUAAGGUGGCUCGAUAUAGUUAUUACAAAAACCCUGCUCAAGAAUCGCGAACUCAAAACCGGGUGACCAUUUUUACGCGCAGGUCGCGGAAACUGAUUAACAAAUGAAAAAGAACUUCCAAAAUGACCUGACGUGAGCAAUUGCUCGCGCCAUAUCACGCCAUUGCACGUGUUCUAUAGCAUUUUAUGACAAUUGCUGACGUCAUUAGAAUUUUCCAUUUUAGAAAAACAAUGCGCUAUAUCUCUUUAUUUUGUCUGGUGACUUAUGUUCAAAUUUUGCAUGCUGUAUUGCACUGCUAAAAACUUUCAUUAUACAAAAAAUAAAAAAAUUCUGUAAUGCCAAAAAAAUUUUACCGAAGAAUACGACAUUUUCGCAUUUUCCAAAAAAAUGGCAUUACAGAAUUUUUUUAUAUUUUGCUAAUUGUUAGCUUUUCGUCCAAGUAAAAUAAUGCACGAAAAAAAAUUGAGGGUCACCAUGCUUUUUUUCCAACUAUACGAGGCGAUAGGCCAUUUUGGAGUGAAUUUCGUACACGUAUGUCGCCAUAGCAACGAACUAUCUGUUACUAAAAAUAAUAUAAUUUGAAAGUAGAGUUAUCAAAAUAUAUAAAAAACCCAAUAUCUGCUGAAUAAAUCCUAAAAAUACGUAGUUUGAACAUGUCAAAGUGUUAAACACAUUAAUUUCUGAAAACUGUAUCGAGCCACCUUAACACAUCAAGAAAC